GUAGGGUGCAAGCGUUAAUCGGAAUUACUGGGCGUAAAGCGUGCGCAGGCGGUCCGCUAAGACAGAUGUGAAAUCCCCGGGGCUUAACCUGGGAACUGCAUUUGUGACUGGCGGGCUAGAGUAUGGCAGAGGGGGGGUAGAAUUCCACGUGUAGCAGUGAAAUGCGUAGAGAUGUGGAGGAAUACCGAUGGCGAAGGCAGCCCCCCUGGGCCAAUACUGACGCUCAUGCACGAAAGCGUGGGGAGCAAACAGGAUUAGAUACCCUGGUAGUCCACGCCCUAAACGAUGUCAACUAGUUGUCGGGUCUUCAUUGACUUGGUAACGUAGCUAACGCGUGAAGUUGACCGCCUGGGGAGUACGGUCGCAAGAUUA
Molecule: ribosomal RNA, 372 nt
Filed under: uncultured organism
Description: partial 16S ribosomal RNA
Rfam family: Bacterial small subunit ribosomal RNA
Source: RNAcentral